AUACAGAGCUUAGUAGGUUAAAUUGGUUACGUAGAAUAUGUUUGGUUGUCGAUAUAUACAAGUUACGUAUGAGAGAAGAAACGCGUACGGUGCUAAGUUUGUUCCUGUUCCCACCGUCAUCUCCUGACAAGUCGCUUCAGUAAUAGUCUAAUAGAAGCAGAUGAUCUUGGGGGUGGUGAAGGAGAGAGAGAGGAGAAUGCAGAACAAGUAAGAAGUGUAAAGAGCAAUCAAAAGAAACAGAGAAGUUGAACUUACUGAUCAAACUGAACAAUGUGCGUAUUGGUUGAACUGAACUUGCCGUUCAAAAAACUGAACAAUGUAAGUAUUUGUAACACCCCGAGCCUCCUGUUAAUGGGCUGCCCACACCCGCUCUCUCGGUCCGUGGACCCAUCCCAUCAGUUGAUGGCUAUUUUUUUUACUGCUGAAAGCUGCCGCAGCGGUGGUAUAACAAAUAGGGUAAUAUGCUUCAAAUUCGACUUAGCAGAGCUUCUUCCACCCAUACUAAUGUGAUGAACGGAUUCAAAAAGAUUCAGACAAUCAAGAAGAUGGAAGGAAUCUUCAUCUGUGAUGCUGUUCUUCACUGUCUCAGGUCUUUCCUCAAGAAACCUGACUUUGAAGCCUAUGUCCAUGACCUCCACCACACCCUAUUGUAAGCCAAUGCUGAGAAAGAAGAAGACGGCAACAACGAAUCCGAGGUUCAGAGCACAAAGCUGUAGUCUUCGGCUUCAGAAUCCACACUGAUGAGAGGUCCCUUGAGAUCCCAGCAGCAACAACAACAGUUACUACUACACAGAUCAGCAUCCUUGUCAAAGCCACAACCUGGGUUUGGUCAAGCACAGGGGCGGCUUAGAUGGGUGGGCGGGGAGUGCGACCGCCCCAGGGCCCAAGGAUCCAGUUUUUUUUUUUACAAUUUUUUAAAAAAAUUUUAAUAAAUAAAAAUGUAAAUAUAAAUAUAUUUUAACUAAAUUUAGUUAUGUAUAUUUUAAAAACUAAAUUUAUCUUGAAAAUUUUCAUACAAAAUAAUAUAAUUUCUUAAAUAAUUACAUUAAAUUUUAGAUUUUAACUAAUUUUCAAAAGAAUUAUUGCCAAAAAACUAUAUAACUUAUUUUUGUCCGGGGGCCUAAAAUGUUUAUGAGUAGGCUCUGGUCAAGCAUAGAGCUACCCUGCAGAGAACGAUAACUCUCGUCCUCCGGGAUUCGAAACCGCUGGUCCCAGACUACGGGGGCCGCCUAUGGAUAUGAUGCAACCACCGCCCAGCAUGCCAAUGAAUCAAAACCCGUUUGGUGUUCCGUCUCAACAAUACUAUAAUAGCGGAGCCAAUUUAAAUGGUUCGUUUUCGGGAUUUUAAUAAGUGAUCAGAAAACCAAACUAAUUAUAUAAUUGAACCGCAUCAAACCGGAGCCAAUUUAAAUGGUUCGUUUUCGAGAUUUUAAUAAGUGUGUGUAUAUAUAUUUACAACCUAAAAACACUCGCAAUUUUGGGCUCACUCCGCCGCCGCCGACGAGCUGAAUCGAUUAUAGGAAUGCGAAUUAUGAAGAAGAAGCAGUUGAAGAAAGCCUUCAGAGUUUGGCACACUGUCUGCCGAGAAGAAUCAGGUGAGUCUUUCUCCUAAUUUUUAGUCUUUAGUUUGAGGUAUUCCUCUCUAUGUCUGUAUUUAUCAAAGAGUGCGCAUAAAAGGUGGGAAUCUUUAUUCUUAGAUUUUGAAGUAGAGCUUAGACAAACAAUGCUGCUGGCUUUUUCAAAUACACACACAAAGCAUCAAACAUUGGUCUUGGUGGGUUUGAGUUAACACCACUGAGGAGAGAUGUGUCUAUUAAAUUUCACGAUGAUGCAAAAGCAAGUUGGCUUGACAUAUCAAACCCAAGUUAUAAGUUUUCAAACUUGGGUCUAUUAAUCAUUGCUAUAUGCUCUCUCUCUCUCUCUCUCUUUUCUCCAUUUGCCCUCACUCUGUCUUUUUUUUCCUGCUUAAAUUUGCCUCUGUCUCUGUUUGUUGCCAUUUCCCUUUACAGUAUUUGUUUCUUCUGAUGAAACUGGUUAGUUAGUUGAGUUCAAACAACUUUUGCAUCCUUCUCCUUUUAUCUCUAAUCUGUUAAAUCCCUGCAGCUUGCUUUGUUCAAGUUGCAAUGAGAGAUAACCAUUCCAUUGAGUGGAACAAGACCAUGUACUUUAGACGAGAUGUACUUUAAUCUUAAUAUGUAAUUUCACUACGAAACCGCCUUGUAUAUAUAUGUUCAUGUUACUAUCUCAUAUAGUCAUAUUGUCUGAGUUUAUGAAAAAUCAAAUAUGAUUUUGUUUGUAAAAACGAAA
Raphanus sativus (radish) is the source of this 2307-nucleotide long non-coding RNA. RefSeq lists it as uncharacterized. The record is from RefSeq and is a predicted model, not a curated record. The transcript is spliced from 2 exons. NCBI's taxonomy places the organism in Eukaryota, Viridiplantae, Streptophyta, Magnoliopsida, Brassicales, Brassicaceae.